This 1194-nucleotide ribosomal RNA is filed under the name marine metagenome. RNAcentral's name for it is "bacterial LSU rRNA". It matches the Rfam family "Bacterial large subunit ribosomal RNA", at positions 817 to 2036 of the family's 2925-position model. The record is from RNAcentral.
AGGGGUGAAAUGCCAAUCGAACCCGGAGCUAGCUGGUUCUCCCCGAAAUACGUUGAGGCGUAGCGUCUAGUGCUCCAGCAGGGGGGUAAAGCCACCAUUUCGGUGCGGGCUGCGAGAGCGGUACCUAAUCGAGAUGAACUCUGAAUACCCUGUGUGUAACUAGGCAGUCAGACUGUGGGGGAUAAGCUCCAUAGUCGAAAGGGAAACAGCCCAGACCGCCAGCUAAGGUCCCUAAAUCAACACUAAGUGAUAAAGGAGGUGGGAUUGCAUAGACAACCAGGAGGUUUGCCUAGAAGCAGCCAUCCUCAAAGGAGUGCGUAAUAGCUCACUGGUCGAGCGAUCCUGCGCCGAAAAUGAACGGGGCUAAGUGUUGUACCGAAGCUGCGGAUUUAACUUGUUAAAUGGUAGGGGAGCGUUCUAUGUGGGGCGAAGCGUUAGCGUAAGCGGGCGUGGACUGCAUAGAAGUGAGAAUGUCGGCUUGAGUAGCGAAAACAUGGGUGAGAAUCCCAUGCCCCGAAACCCUAAGGGUUCCUCCGGCAGGCUCGUCCGCGGAGGGUUAGUCUGGACCUAAGGCGAGGCCGAAAGGCGUAGUCGAUGGACAACAGGUCAACAUUCCUGUACCGGUUAUGUUUUGGGAAGGGGGACGGAGAAGGCUAGCCAAGCCAGAUGUUGGUUACUGGUUUAAGCGUUCGAGGCGUUGAGGAGCGGAGAAAACGUUCUGAGCUAAGGCGUGAAUACGAGCUGCUACGGCAGUGAAGUUGGUGAUGUCAUGCUUCCAAGAAAAGCCCUAUACCCGUUAAGGCAUAACUGCCAGUACCCGAAACCGACACAGGUAGGGUGGUAGAGAAUACCGAGGGGCGCGAGAUAACUCUCUCUAAGGAACUCGGCAAAAUGGCCCCGUAACUUCGGGAGAAGGGGUGCCAGCGAGAGCUGGUCGCAGUGAAGAGGCCCAGGCGACUGUUUACCAAAAACACAGGUCUCCGCUAAGUCGCAAGACGAUGUAUGGGGGCUGACGCCUGCCCAGUGCCGGAAGGUUAAGGAAGCCGGUCAGCGUAAGCGAAGCUGGCGACUGAAGCCCCGGUGAACGGCGGCCGUAACUAUAACGGUCCUAAGGUAGCGAAAUUCCUUGUCGGGUAAGUUCCGACCUGCACGAAUGGUGUAACGAAUUGGGCACUGUCUCAACCAUGACCCCAG